UUAUGACUACAAUUCAAAAAAAUGAGGAGAUUCAAUUCAAUACUGGAACUACAUUUAUAGACACAAAGAAAGACAAGUUUGACUGUGAAUACUGUCGGCCUUGUGUGAGGUGUCUUUGGCAUGGUUUUCUGUGGGUGUAGGGCGAAACAAGCAGCUGAUUUUUUUUAGUAAGUACAUGAAACGUGCAUGUGUGUGUGACUGAAAAAAAAAGUUUCACAAAGUUUCAACAGAUUUGAUAUAAAAAUAUUAGAAAUUGACCCCAAUGAUCUCACCCAAAAGCCUCGCAUUGCAUUGAUCAACGCCUCGCAUUGAUCUGAGUUUGGGUUUCCCUGUUGGGAAAGAAGAAGGUUUCUCGAAUGGGAUUCGAAGGCGUUGAUCUUGGUAACAUAGAAUAAGGUCCAAGCUAGCAAGUCAUUUAGAACAUCCCAACUGUUGAUACAGAACCAGGAAGCCGUCGCUGAUGGAUGGACAUGGAAAAAAAACUCCCCCGCGUCGCUCCCUCCCGAGCGACUCGGGGGCGAAACCUCGCGCGGCGCCGCCGGCUCUCCCCUCCGCCUCCCCCCGCCGCCGCUGCCGCUGGCCCUGCAGCGGUGGCGGCGGGCCCCUUCCUCAAAUGGGGGAGGGGAUCCUCUGGUCGCUCUGCGCGGCGGAGCUCGGUGCCCGGGGCAGCGGCCCCGGAUCUAGUGGCGGCGGCGCGGCGUGCCUGACCGCGGCGGCGCGCUGUGGGGUGGCGCGCGGCUGUGUCUAGGCGGCCGAGGCUGGGGCAUGCGUGCGGGAGCUCGCGGAGGCGGGCGCAUGCUGUGGCGCUGUGGCGCGGUGGCGCACGGGGGUGGUCAGCGGCAGCUCAGGCAUGGGCUUCAUGUCGCCGUUGGCGGCCGUCCAUGGCCGGAUCCAUGGGCCUGACGCCUGGAUCUGUGGGCUGGCGGUGGUUGCAGGGAGAUGGAGAUGGUGCGGUGGGGUGGCUGGAUAUUCCCCUUUUGGCGGCUGGUUCUUGCUGCUCCGCGAGAGGGCGCUGGAUCUGGACGCCGGAUGCUUCAGUGCGACGUGGAGUUGGUUCCAGCCUCUGGUGGCUCGCCGGUGGUUGGGCCAUGGGCGGCGGCGGGGCUGCCAUGGCCCUCUUCGUCGGCUGGUGCAGGCAUGAAGGUGGUGGGCCCAGCAAGGAGUAUGGGGGUUCAGCAGGACAUCCUUGCAGGAGCAGUCGAGAAGAGGAUUCCAUCGGCGUCGCAUUCAAGCAGUUGAGUACUUGAGUUACAUUCAUAAAGGUGUUACUGCCAAGCCUGGAUUCAAGUGGAGAAUCCUCCAGUAGGAACAUCGUCUGCCCACAACAGUUGUGGAUCGGGAAUGCAAGCCAGAUCGCCUCCACAUGGGCUGCUGUUGCAAGGUCAUGGUGCCGCACCUCAGCUAAUUCAGUAGGAGUAGUCCAUUCCCCGUCCAAGUGUUUAUUAUUAAUCACUAUUGUUUCAUCUGUUUAUUCUCAUCUAGCUCAUAUAUUAAGUGACUUUUUAAACGUUUGGCUAAUUCCUUUUUGUCUUUUGGGGCUUUGCGGUGAAGGCGAGAUGAAUUUAGAAGAGUUCAAUUUAGAGUCAGUGUAGUGUGUUCCGCGGAAAGAAAAGAUAAUUGGUGUAGUGUCUCUCGCCUAUUGGACUCAGUCUAUUAUGCCCACUAAAUAUAUACAUGUAUGUUGCAGAGACUUGGCACAUGGAUGGUUAGCAUCUCUUCGCACAUGCAUGUCAAUUCACUGAAAAGGUACUACUGUAACUAUGACUAUGGGUGUAGAUGUCCACUCUUGAUUUUUGAGGACCACUUUAGAUGUGAUCAUUUGUGUUGCUUCAAACCUUCUUGACAUAACAUAAUGUGUGCGUGUUACUAAUCUGAAAGUCGAGCCUAAGCUUUGUUAAGUGGACUUCAUGCAAUUAUGAUAUAAUUGUUGAUUAUCUCUCUUCCAUCACAAAAUCCAACUUACUAUGUUUUUUACCAUUGAAUGAAUGUUCAGCCAUUAUCAGACUUUUGUGCUGUGCCCUGGCUGACAAACCGUGCUUUGCCAACCUAGUGGAGGAAAGGCAAGGUUGACCAAGUGAUGAUCCUUCCACCUGAAGGGUGAUUAAUUUGCAUGCUUAUUAUGAAAAAAUGAAGCCCUUCUGAACAUUGCUUUCUACUACUUAUCCUCGAUGUGGGGAGGCCGGCCAAAAGGGGUAUGCUUAGGUGGUGAACUUGGAAUGGGAUAAUAGAACACUACCUGUUGUUACAUUCUGAUUUUAGUUGCGUUUGAGUUUUAGAUUAUUUUUUUACCUUUUAGCAUGGUAAUUUGCUGGGACCUGGCACUAUUGAUUUUGAUUAUUGCAAAGUGAUAAUCAGUUUUAUGUC
Triticum aestivum (bread wheat) is the source of this 2364-nucleotide RNA transcript. RefSeq lists it as uncharacterized. The record is from RefSeq and is a predicted model, not a curated record. Lineage: Eukaryota; Viridiplantae; Streptophyta; Magnoliopsida; Poales; Poaceae. The transcript is spliced from 2 exons.